This 555-nucleotide long non-coding RNA is filed under the name Phoenix dactylifera (date palm). Its description in RNAcentral is "long non-coding RNA (PDAC_LNC010424)". The record is from RNAcentral. Lineage: Eukaryota; Viridiplantae; Streptophyta; Magnoliopsida; Arecales; Arecaceae.
AUCGGUUGGUUCUAGUCGGUGAGCCUGUGAAAACCGACCGAGUUCGUUGUGAUCUCGCAAAACAACAAGUUGGGUUGUGAGCUUGUAAAACAACCGGCUGUAAUCUUAGGGAUUAUAGUGAAAUUUCCAAGAGGUCUUGGGGAGUGGAUGUAGGUGCUGGGGUGCACCGAACCACUAUACAUCUUUGUGUUUGUGAUGCCUUAUCUUUUGUAUUUCAUGCCUUACAUUCAUACUUGAUUGUGUAGUAUCUCUAGCUUUAUUUUCUAUAGAGUUCUAAGUGAUUGUUUAGAAUUUGCUUAGCUUCCUCUCCAUUCUUACCAUACACAUAGAUUAAAAUUGAUCAUACAACUAUAAGUUAAUUUUAGAUCAAUUGCACCCUAAAGCCAUAGUAUAAUUGCUCUAGCUUAAUUUUCCACUACUUUACUUCUAAUUGCCUAGAGCUUAAGUAAAUAACAUCUUAUCAUUCCGCUGCAUUCAAUUCAAAGUAAAAAUUAGGGAACAUAAUUUUUAGAAAACCCAAUUCACCCCCCCUCUUGGCUUGUCACCUUGGGCAAC